Molecule: ribosomal RNA, 518 nt
Filed under: uncultured bacterium
Lineage: Bacteria
Description: bacterial SSU rRNA
Rfam family: Bacterial small subunit ribosomal RNA
Source: RNAcentral
GGCCGAUUAGCUAGUUGGUGAGGUAACGGCCCACCAAGGCGACGAUCGGUAGCCGGCCUGAGAGGGCACACGGCCACACUGGCACUGAAGCACGGGCCAGACUCCUACGGGAGGCAGCAGUGGGGAAUCUUGCACAAUGGGGGAAACCCUGAUGCAGCGACGCCGCGUGAGCGAUGAAGCCCCUCGGGGUGUAAAGCUCUUUCGGCAGGAACGAUAAUGACGGUACCUGAAGAAGAAGCUGCGGCUAACUACGUGCCAGCAGCCGCGGUAAUACGUAGGCAGCGAGCGUUGUUCGGAAUUACUGGGCGUAAAGAGUGUGUAGGCGGUGCCUUAAGUUCGGUGUGAAAUCUCCUGGCUCAACUGGGAGGGUGCGCCGGAAACUGGGGUGCUCGAGCGUGGGAGAGGAAAGCGGAAUUCCUGGUGUAGCGGUGAAAUGCGUAGAUAUCAGGAGGAACACCUGCGGUGUAGACGGCUUUCUGGACCAUUGUUGACGCUGAGACACGAAAGCGUGGGUAGCA